RNAcentral lists this ribosomal RNA (459 nucleotides) under uncultured bacterium. RNAcentral describes it as "partial 16S ribosomal RNA". It matches the Rfam family "Bacterial small subunit ribosomal RNA", at positions 338 to 795 of the family's 1533-position model. The record is from RNAcentral.
CCUACGGGAGGCAGCAGUGAGGAAUAUUGGUCAAUGGCCGAGAGGCUGAACCAGCCAAGUCGCGUGAGGGAUGAAUGUCCUACGGAUUGUAAACCUCUUUUGUCGGGGAGCAAAAUGACGCUGCGGUGCCUUAUUGAGAGUACUCGAUGAAAAAGCAUCGGCUAACUCCGUGCCAGCAGCCGCGGUAAUACGGAGGAUGCGAGCGUUAUCCGGAUUUAUUGGGUUUAAAGGGUGCGAAGGCGGCGGUUAAAGCAAGCGGUAAAAUAGGGGGGCUCAACCCCGACGUGCCGUUUGUACUGGCGCUCUUGAGUUCAGUCGAGGUAGGCGGAAUUCGUGGUGUAGCGGUGAAAUGCAUAGAUAUCACGAAGAACUCCGAUUGCGAAGGCAGCUUACCAGUCUGCGACUGACGCUCAGGCACGAAAGUGUGGGUAUCGAACAGGAUUAGAUACCCUGGUAGUC